RNAcentral lists this ribosomal RNA (433 nucleotides) under uncultured bacterium. RNAcentral describes it as "partial 16S ribosomal RNA". It matches the Rfam family "Bacterial small subunit ribosomal RNA", at positions 29 to 507 of the family's 1533-position model. The record is from RNAcentral.
AACGAACGCUGGCGGCAUGCCUAACACAUGCAAGUCGAACGAGACCUUCGGGUCUAGUGGCGCACGGGUGCGUAACGCGUGGGAACCUGCCCUUAGGUUCGGAAUAACUCCCCGAAAGGGGUGCUAAUACCGGAUAAUGUCUUCGGACCAAAGAUUUAUCGCCUUUGGAUGGGCCCGCGUUGGAUUAGCUAGUUGGUAGGGUAAAAGCCUACCAAGGCGACGAUCCAUAGCUGGUCUGAGAGGAUGAUCAGCCACACUGGGACUGAGACACGGCCCAGACUCCUACGGGAGGCAGCAGUGGGGAAUAUUGGACAAUGGGCGAAAGCCUGAUCCAACAAUGCCGCGUGAGUGAUGAAGGCCUUAGGGUUAUAAAGCUCUUUUACCCGGGAUGAUAAUGACAGUACCGGGAGAAUAAGCUCCGGCUAACUCCGUG